CAGAGGUGCCAAGCGUUAGGCGGAAUCACUGGGCUUAAAGCGUGUGUAGGCGGACUUGUAAGUACCUUGUGAAAUCCCACGGCUCAACCGUGGAACUGCUUGGUAUACUGCUUGUCUUGAGCCACUUAGGGGCUGUCGGAACAAACGGUGGAGCGGUGAAAUGCGUAGAUAUCGUUUGGAACGCCAACGGUGAAAACAGACAGCUGGGAGUGUGCUGACGCUGAGACACGAAAGCCAGGGGAGCGAACGGGAUUAGAUACCCCGGUAGUCCUGGCCCUAAACGAUGUCGACUAGAUCGUGGUGCCUCUGACGGCAUCACGGUCGAAGCAAAAGUGCUAAGUCGACCGCCUGGGAAGUACGGUCGCAAGGCUA
This 372-nucleotide ribosomal RNA is filed under the name uncultured organism. RNAcentral describes it as "bacterial SSU rRNA". It matches the Rfam family "Bacterial small subunit ribosomal RNA", at positions 526 to 896 of the family's 1533-position model. The record is from RNAcentral.